ACAGCAGCAUUCGUCCAUUUUUCUGGACUGCCAUGUUAGUUUGUCGAUAACUAUUAAUAUCCAGUAGCGCUGUCGUAGUCUCCUUCAGAGAGACUUAGAAAUAUUAAUAUGCAUAUAUAUAUAUAUAUAUAAAUAUGUAAUGGAAAA
Octopus sinensis (East Asian common octopus) is the source of this 147-nucleotide long non-coding RNA. RefSeq lists it as uncharacterized. The record is from RefSeq and is a predicted model, not a curated record. Lineage: Eukaryota; Metazoa; Mollusca; Cephalopoda; Octopoda; Octopodidae. The transcript has 3 exons.